UUGCUUUGGCAGCACAUAUACUAAAAUUGGAAUGAUCAGAGAAGAUUAGCAUGGCCCUGGUGCAAGGAUGACAUAGAAAUUCAUGAAGCAUUCCCUGUUUUU
Molecule: small nuclear RNA, 102 nt
Organism: Saimiri boliviensis boliviensis (Bolivian squirrel monkey)
Lineage: Eukaryota; Metazoa; Chordata; Mammalia; Primates; Cebidae
Source: Ensembl